This 206-nucleotide long non-coding RNA is filed under the name Elaeis guineensis (African oil palm). RNAcentral's name for it is "long non-coding RNA (EGUI_LNC010422)". The record is from RNAcentral. Lineage: Eukaryota; Viridiplantae; Streptophyta; Magnoliopsida; Arecales; Arecaceae.
CUGCAUUAUAUAUAUUGUCCAAUAUAGGAAAGGCACGGCCACCAAAUCAAUACAAUUGGCAUUUGUACUUGAAACUCCACCAUGAAACUGGUCCUAGGAUUGUUGUUGGCAUUCUAUGCUCUCAUUUCCAUUGGCAGUGCAGUUCGGGUCAUGAGCAAUUGUGUAUGCGCUGAGAGCAAGAGGGUGUCAUCCCAUCCUCCUCCUGC